Molecule: long non-coding RNA, 2462 nt
Organism: Macadamia integrifolia
Lineage: Eukaryota; Viridiplantae; Streptophyta; Magnoliopsida; Proteales; Proteaceae
Exons: 3
Source: RefSeq, a predicted model, not a curated record
AGUAGCUGCACAAGUAAGUACAAUUGUGUGGAUAAGAAAGUAGAUAAGGGUGAAGGAUAGGGAAGGUGAGAGAGUGGUCUACAGGUGUAGGGGAAGAGUCUCACAUAAGGUGGACUACUCUGGGAAGAUGGUAGGAUAGCAGGGAGGCCAGUAAAAGCAAACCGAUAGGAUAGCCUCUGGCAAUCUGCCAGCCAGUUCAGUGGCAAAAUGCCCAAAAAUUACAUUUUUCCUUUGUGGGCCCCACUGUUUUGUAGGGUAAUUCUACCCAUUCUUACCAUGGAUUGAGGCAUGAAUAAGGGGGUCAUAAUGCAACUAGUUUCAUGUUAAACUUUAAUUUCUAUUAUGAGUUAUUUACGUUUAAUUACUUAGAAAAAAUGGGAUUUAUCAACGAAAUAACAGACCCUAAGUCUGUUUAGCUAUAUAAAAGGGGUAGGUCGGCUACUUUUUCCUUUCCUUUACUGCCUCAUACGAGGGAAAAUAGGGAGGAGAAAGAAAGGAGAAGGAAAGGAGGAGAGAAAGAAGAAGAUAGGAAGAAGGAGGUUAUAGAGAGGGAGUGCUGCUAUUCCUCUCCGUUGCAUUCUCUACUUCUACUACUGCUCCUCUCUAUUAUCACUACUGCUGCUGUACCUGCACUCUCAGAUACUACCAGUAGUGGAAGGAUGUUGCGAAAAGGUGCUCCAGAGCUGUAUAGCUUCAUGUGGAUUGCUUGUACACACCCAGGAACAUUAAAAGGUAAUUACCUAAACCCAACUAAGUGAAUUAAGCUAGGUUAGGAAUUGGCAAGGCAUAGGGUUAGUAUAAAAAUGAAAUUAGGUGAGAGAAAUUACUGAUGGGAAAUCAGUACAGUUUUCAACAGCAACAAGCCCAACUUCUGGACCCUAAUUGUAACCCAAUUAACUGCAGUAUUAUCCCCAAAACCCUAAACCAUGGGGCUUUUUGCAAUUGAACUAAAUUAAUUGCAAUUGGUGGUGGGAGUUGCUCACACAUGACCCUAAUUUUGCCCAAGGGUAGGCAAAAAAUUUAGUUGGAAUACCCAGGGUGCAAAUUGGGAAAAAAGAUACCUUAUUGGUUUAAUACAGUGCUCAGAGACCCAAUUUAAAUUGGGAAAUGGACUCUAAAGGUGUAGGGAAUUUAUUUGAAGUUGGUAUGAUGUAAUACCUCUGCUGUGAACUGCCCAGCAAGGCCUAUUAUGCCAGGGGAACUGGUCAGCCGAUAGAUGUCUAAGCAGCCUGCAUUGAGGCUCUUAUCAAGUUUUCAAAAUGAUUCAAAAUGUAUUUUUUGUUUCUCCCUUGGAUUGCAGUGAGUGUGAUAUUAAUGUUAUAACAGGCAUGGAGAUUUAGUGUGGGUUUAAUAAUCUCAGUUCCUAUUCUGAAACUUUUAUUUUUGGGUUUUGUAGGAUGAUGGACCAAGGCCCCUAAGCUUCUAGGAUUCCAUAUCAUCGCCUAAAGCAAGUCUGCCAUCCCCAAAAUCUUCUGCCCCAAAAAAGUAUGGGUAGUAAUGGGCUACUCUCAUGAUUUUAUGUCUCUGAGUUACCAUGUCUAUGUUUAAAAUGCAUGGUCCUAAAGGCUUAAGUUGUUGUUUCACUUAUAAUUUCAUUGCUUAAAUGUAGCCAACACCAAUUUCCAAGGAGAUAGAGAUAGAACAUUCUCCAUUGGGAAAACUAUGAGAAGCAGAGUUGGUCCUUUAAAGGAUUACUUGUGUCAGAUCAUUGCCAUCUAUUGCUCUAUUGUUAUUAUUAUGCUUAGUUUUCUACUGAAGAUUGCUUUAAAGGGUUACUUAUAUCUUUUAUGGUUAGGUUAAGUUUAUUUAUAAUAAUUUUCUUGAUGAUUUUGUAGUUAAAUGUAAGCAUCUUUCUGAGGUUCGUGUGAAGACCUGCAGAGUGUUUUAGGGAUCUUGCUUCCAAUAAACAUAUUUAAAAUCAAAUUUGGUCGAUAGGUACAGCAGCAGGUCAACAUGUGCAGUAGGAUUUCAAUAAGAUUUCAGCUUAGACAGCACCUUGCACCUCUCAUCUUGGCUUGCAUGCACCCUUUUCUACAACAGCAGCAGCAUCAUCUCAAUACCGCAAAUAAGAGGGCUCAACAUGAGCAGCAGGAAGCAUGUAGCUGCAGCCCCAAGAAAAUAUAUUAACAGCAGCCCUUCUCUCCUCCUUUUCUUCUUGUUUCUGUUCUCGGCAGUAAGGGAGUGGCAACAGAGAUGCACAUGAGCUCAGAAGCAAGGGAAACAAUAUAUUUAAGUAUUGGGUGUUGAAUGGAAAUAAGAAUCAUGGGCACCUUAACCUAAUGAUAUUUUGAUUGCUGAAUGGAGUGCAAGGUGGAACAGCCAAGAUACCCUGCCUUCUACGACAAUUAAGGAGUUAGUGUAGAAGAUGAAGUUCUCUCUCAUCCCUUUCAGGUUAUGAAUGGUAGUUCUGUCACGCCCCCUUCACACAGAACCGGACCGGUGACCGGGUUAACUCCGGUUAA